Molecule: transfer RNA, 72 nt
Filed under: Ictidomys tridecemlineatus (thirteen-lined ground squirrel)
Lineage: Eukaryota; Metazoa; Chordata; Mammalia; Rodentia; Sciuridae
Description: Spermophilus tridecemlineatus (thirteen-lined ground squirrel) tRNA
Rfam family: tRNA
About the family: Transfer RNA (tRNA) molecules are approximately 80 nucleotides in length. Their secondary structure includes four short double-helical elements and three loops (D, anti-codon, and T loops). Further hydrogen bonds mediate the characteristic L-shaped molecular structure. tRNAs have two regions of fundamental functional importance: the anti-codon, which is responsible for specific mRNA codon recognition, and the 3' end, to which the tRNAs corresponding amino acid is attached (by aminoacyl-tRNA synthetases). tRNAs cope with the degeneracy of the genetic code in two manners: having more than one tRNA (with a specific anti-codon) for a particular amino acid; and 'wobble' base-pairing, i.e. permitting non-standard base-pairing at the 3rd anti-codon position.
Source: Rfam by way of RNAcentral
GGGAAGGUAGCUUAGUGGUAGAGUGUUUGCCUAGCAUGCUUGAGGCCCUGGAUUCUGUCCUCAGCCUUUCCA